ACAGACCUUCCUCCUCCUGGAACAUCCAAGGGCACUGGAUCCUCUGUGUCCCUCUGAGAUGGGGUGCCACUCCAGCAAGAGCACCACGGUGGCAGCUGAGUCCCAGAAGCUUGAAGAAGAGCGCGAGGGAAGAGAGCCAGGUCUGGAGACCGGCACCCAGGCAGCAGACUGCAAGGAUGCCCCGCUGAAGGAUGGAACCCCUGAGCCAAAGAGCUGAAAUGCCUCUCUCCAGAGUCGGACCCUCACCUCCUUCCUGGAACUGCCUUUGGCCCCAGAACCAUGAGACAAUCCCCACCCUGAGAAGCUCCGAUCACUGGGAGGAGAGAGAAAGCCUCCAGCUUUGGGAUUCAGGCUUCAGAAGUUUUUAGCAGCCUUUGCUCAUUGGAGAGGUGGGGAGGAUAAGUCUAUAAGGAAUCCUAUUUCCCCAGCUCUCCCACAGAGAGGACAAAAGAAGUCUUCACACGUUGUGGAACUUUCCUGCAACUUCUGGAUGCAGACAAGCCUCAGAGCAGACUGUUCUGGCUCCAGUGAAUAUCGGCUGCCAAGCUGUGAGCAUCCAGGGAUCCCCGUCUGCCUGGCUUUCCUGAAGUCAGAAGGCGCCUUGGUCAUACUGUGUGGGGUGUGUGGAUCUCAGUUUGCUCUCUUUCUUUCUCCUUUUUUCAACAGCUGGCGGAGUAGCCAACACCCCUGACAGCAAUGUGUUGCACUUGGCUCACUCCACACCCUAUGAAUAAUUUUAAUAUUUAACUUGAAAUGUUGUUAAGAAACUAUGGAAAAUAUCAGGAUCCCACUGGGAUCCCGUAAAUUGAAGGCAACAAGGUCUUGGUCCUCCAGUAAGGGGGGCAUGGAGCCCUGGUGGGAAGGAAAGAAGAGAAAUUUGUGUUCCUGAUUCCUUAAUCCCCAAGAAAGGUCCCUCUGCUAACAUUCACAUAUCUCUUCCUAGCCAAAGUCUGUCCAUUUCAACCCUCUAGCAUCUGAGCUAUCUGCAUCCAGCUUUCAAAAAUAUUUCGCUGUUUACUAACAUGUCUGUCAGCCUCUCUUUUCUCCCCCGCAUGUGUUUUGUUUUUAAAUCCACUCAAAAGCGUUUUCAUUUGAAAUCAAAUAGACAUGUUUGCAAAUAAAUGUUGACACAACACAUUUGAAAGACAGAAUUGGGGAUCUGAGAUUAAGAGUAUCAGCAGAGAAGAGUGGGUGUAAUUCUGUGGAACAGGAGUGAGAACAGAGGCGAGGGAGCCGUUGCUUUGUGCCAGGCGCCAUGCUGAGGACUUUCCAUAGACGGUUUAAUGCCACCCAACUACUCCCAUUUUAUAGAUGAGGAAAUGGAGGAAAUAAAGUCACUUGCCUGAGUUUGGGCAGCCAGGAAGGAGCAGAACCCACAGUUGAGCCCCAGCAGUUUGGCUUGGGAAACGCAUGUAGAGUGCUUCUUAAAGCAGAGAGCCUUUCUCAUGAUUAAACUGAAAUACUAGUCCCUUUAUAGCCUGUGCAUAGUGAGGACCAUUUUUCUUUAUUCACUGAGACCUACCUGCCUAUUGAGAAGUAUGUAACCGGUCAGCUUGGAGUUGCCCCACUGCAGGUUGGGUGAUGCAUUGAGGGACUUUUUAUUUUUACUCUGGUGGUGGGGGACGGGGAGGGAGGAAGAGACGGAGAGGGAAAAGAGGAGGGAGGAGAGAGGGCAAGAAGAAAAAGGAGGAGGGGAAACAGAGGAAGAGAGGGAGGAGGGAAAGAAGGAGAGGGAGAGAAAGGGAAGAGGUAGGGAGAUGAAAGAGCGGGGAGAGGCAGAAUGGGAGAGGGAGAGAAGGAGAGGGGAGACGGAGGGAGGAAGGGAGAGAAAGGAGAGGGGUGAGGGAAAAGGGGUAGGGAGGAGGGAGGAAGAGAAAAAUGGGGAGAGGGUGGGCGAGAAGGAAAGGAAGAAAUCGAGGAAGUUGGAGGAAUGAGGGAUGAGGCAGGGAGGGAGAAAGGGAGGGCGAAGCAGUAAGGUGCUGCAAAGGACCCUUCUUUUUGGCCAUAAAAACCUGAGAAACUGAUUGAGAUUCUUUUGAGCAAUAAGGCAACUGCGGUGAGGAAAAAAUAAGGAAGGAGGCACAAAAAGCAAAGCAGUUCAGCCUGAAAUUGACUACAGAGCUUCCCUUUGCUUCAGCAGAGCCUGGAGGAGCAGGAGGGAUGGGGGCCCUGUCAGCUGGCCCAAAGCCCUGCCCUGUCCCAGGGGUGCUAAGCUUGCUGCAGGCCAGGAAACAGGCCUGGGCUUGCAGCUGGGGAUCAGGAAGUUUGGGGCCUCUUUGCACAGCUUACUGGGGAUAGGCCAAGCUCUGGGAACUCCUUUCAAUUUUUUUUUUUUUUAAGACAACUCUGUUUUUCUCCCUCCUCCCUACUAGUGGAAAUUUACCUUGCAAAACAGGACUGUGCAUGGUGAGAGCUGCUUGCAAUGUCCACACUCAGGACUCUAUGGAAAGAGUUCGCAGCUGGUGGUGAGGCUUUGAGAAUUAAUAAAAUUGUAGGAUUUGGCCCUGGAAACUCUUAACCACUGAGAAGGGACUGCUUGAGAAUGAAGCCACAGAGCAGAGUGGAGCAGAGUGGAGAGAAGGAGAGACAUCGUCCUGAUCAACUUGUUUGGGCAACUGGAUCCAGCCAUGCCAGAAUAAUUCUUCCCCUAGAAGAUUCACAAGCCAAUAAACUCACUCUUUUUGUUUGUUUGUUUACAGUGGUUUGAAUUUGGUUUCUGUCAUUUUCAGAGAGAUCUGAGUAAAUCAGAUCCACUUAGAUUUGUAUAUUAGGUAGAGCACCCUGGUAACUGUUUAGAGGAUGGAGUUGGGAGGGAUAAAGCUAGAAGCAUGAAUACCAAUUAGAAGGCAACCUAGGAAAAAAAAAGCAUACAAGGAGGGGCAGGUUUAAAGGGAAGAUGAGGGGUUGAGUUUUAGGGGUGUUGAGUUUGAGGUGCCCAUAGGACAAAAUGUAAAUAAUGAUUGCAAACACUUAUAUCACUCUUACCAUGUCUGAGCAUUGUUCCAAAUGCAAUACAUAUAGAACUCAUUUAAUCCUCACCAUCACACUGUGCUCAUUUUAUAGAUUAAAACACAGGGAGUUUUAAUCCAUUCACUGAUCCCAACUUGCUCCUUGGCUGUAAAUUCCCACAUUUCCUUGUUGUAUUCUGAAUUAAGCCCAAUCUCUCUCCCCUACAAUAAAACCCCGUUGUUGUACAGGGGGUGCAGGGGGGGUGUGAUGGUUAAUUUUAUGUGUCAAGACUGGGCGCAGUGGCUCACACCUGUAAUCCCAGCACUUUGGGAGGCCGAGGUGGGCGGAUCACUUGAGGUCUGGAGUUCGAGACCAGCCUGGCCAACAUGGCAAAACCUCGUCUCUACUAAAAAUACAAAAAUUGUCCAGGUGUGGUGGCACGUGCCUGUAAUUCCAGCUACUACUCGGGAGGCUGAGGCAGGAGAAUUGCUUGAAACUGGGAGGCAGAGGUUGCAGUGAGCCUAGGUCACAUCACUGCAUUCCAGCCUAGGUGACAGAGUGAGGCUCUGUCUCAAAAAAAUAAAUAGAUAAAUAAAAUUAUGUGUCAGUUUAACUUGGCUAAGGGAUGCCCAGAUAGCUGGUAAAACAUUAUUUCUGGGUGUGCCUGGGAGCGUGUUUCUGGAAGAGAUUAGCGUUUUAAUCAGUAGACUGUGUCAAGAAGACCCACUGUCGUUAAUCUAAUCUGUUGAAGGUCUGAAUACAGCAACAAGGUAGAGAAUUCUCUCUCUUUUCUUGAGCUGGGACAUCCAUCUUCUCUUGUCCUCAGACGUUGGAGCUCCUGGUUCUGGGAUUUUCAGACUCCAGGACUUAGACCAGUGGCCUCUCUGGUUCUCAUGCCUUCCGCCUCAGACUGAAUUACACCACUGGCUUUCCUGGGUCUCCAGCAUACCAAUGGCAUAACAUGGGACUUCUUGGCCUCCAUAAUAAUGUGAACCAAUUCCCAUAAUAAAUCUCCCCUUAUAUAUCUCGAUAUAUUCUGUUGGUUCUGUUUCUCUGGAGGACCCUGACUAAUAUAGGGGGUUAACUAGUUCUUCCAGCUCUCAAGGACACAGCUGGGGCUUGCACUAGGCAGUUUGCCUUUAGAGGCUGAGACUUGAGGAAUUCAUU
RNAcentral lists this long non-coding RNA (4116 nucleotides) under Homo sapiens (human). Its description in RNAcentral is "HSALNT0386122". Lineage: Eukaryota; Metazoa; Chordata; Mammalia; Primates; Hominidae. The record is from RNAcentral.